This 275-nucleotide long non-coding RNA is filed under the name Elaeis guineensis (African oil palm). RNAcentral describes it as "long non-coding RNA (EGUI_LNC064184)". Lineage: Eukaryota; Viridiplantae; Streptophyta; Magnoliopsida; Arecales; Arecaceae. The record is from RNAcentral.
GGGUGUGAUUCUGACAAGCAUAAUAAGGGACGUUCAGAAGAAGAAAAGAGAGAGAUCUCCGACGAUGUCCGAUAAGCAUUGAAUUUUUCAACGUGGGAUAGUGGGGGGAAAUAGGGAUCUUUAAAUAGAGUGGAGGGGAGAUCUAAUCAUUUCCAAUAUCAGCUGCCCUUCGGUGAAGUUGGAAGGAAGAAAACUCUUGAUUUUUUUUUUUUUAGUGCUUUAAAAUUUGUACGACCCUUUUGGAUCUGCUUCUGGUUGCUGGGCCGAUCAAGUGG